GAUGAACGCUGGCGGCGUGCUUAACACAUGCAAGUCGAACGAGAAGUGAAGACGGAAACCUUCGGGCGGAAGGCUUUAUUUCGAGUGGCGGACGGGUGAGUAACGCGUGGGUAACCUGCCUCAUACAGGGGGAUAACAGUUGGAAACGACUGUUAAUACCGCAUAAGACCACAGCACCGCAUGGUGCGGGGGUAAAAACUCCGGUGGUAUGAGAUGGACCCGCGUUCGAUUAGCCAGUUGGCGGGGUAACGGCCCACCAAAGCGACGAUCGAUAGCCGAUCUGAGAGGAUGACCGGCCACAUUGGGACUGAGACACGGCCCAAACUCCUACGGGAGGCAGCAGUGGGGAAUAUUGCACAAUGGGGGAAACCCUGAUGCAGCGACGCCGCGUGAGUGAAGAAGUAUUUCGGGAUGUAAAGCUCUAUCAGCAGGGAAGAAAAUGACGGUACCUGAGGAAGAAGCCCCGGCUAACUACGUG
RNAcentral lists this ribosomal RNA (478 nucleotides) under uncultured bacterium. Its description in RNAcentral is "partial 16S ribosomal RNA". It matches the Rfam family "Bacterial small subunit ribosomal RNA", at positions 28 to 507 of the family's 1533-position model. The record is from RNAcentral.